RNAcentral lists this ribosomal RNA (482 nucleotides) under uncultured bacterium. RNAcentral's name for it is "bacterial SSU rRNA". It matches the Rfam family "Bacterial small subunit ribosomal RNA", at positions 28 to 536 of the family's 1533-position model. The record is from RNAcentral.
GAUGAACGCUGGCGGCGUGCCUAACACAUGCAAGUCGAGCGAUUCUCUUCGGAGAAGAGCGGCGGACGGGUGAGUAACGCGUGGGUAACCUGCCCUGUACACACGGAUAACAUACCGAAAGGUAUGCUAAUACGGGAUAACAUAAGAAAUUCGCAUGUUUUUCUUAUCAAAGCUCCGGCGGUACAGGAUGGACCCGCGUCUGAUUAGCUAGUUGGUGAGGUAACGGCUCACCAAGGCGACGAUCAGUAGCCGACCUGAGAGGGUGAUCGGCCACAUUGGAACUGAGACACGGUCCAAACUCCUACGGGAGGCAGCAGUGGGGAAUAUUGCACAAUGGGCGAAAGCCUGAUGCAGCAACGCCGCGUGAGCGAUGAAGGCCUUCGGGUCGUAAAGCUCUGUCCUCAAGGAACGAUAAUGACGGUACUUGGAGGAGGAACGCCCCGGCUAACUACGUGCCAGCAGCCGCGGUAUCCUAGUCUACG